GAAUUUCGCCAAAAGCCACCAAAAUAUUAUUCAUUCAUCAACUGAAAAUAAAUUACAAUGCAAAAUAGUUUAAAUAGUAAAACCCUAACUAGAAUGAGCCUAGGCCAAUAUAAGCCUAAUAAGAAUCCAAAACGAAAUAAAGUCCACAAAAUGAAAUAAGGUCCAACUAAAAAUAAAUAAAAACGACUGGAUGUCCUCAUCAACUCUCCCGCGGUGGGAGAAAACUCGACCCUAUCGAGUUGAUAGAUCACUAGGCUGCAGUCAAUCUCCCAACCAUCAGCUAAGUGGUUGGACAAGCUUCUUCCGACGUCUGUAGAAAUAAAUUUUAUCUUUGUGUACUGUAAGAGGUAGUAGUGGGUUAGAAGCGGCCAAAUAAUCAAGAUCAAGGUCCACAAAAAGAGGUAACAAAGGAUCAUCUGAGGGAAUGAAAUGGCCUUUAUAAGCAGCUAAAUCCUCAACAUUGAAAGUAGAGUGGUAACCAAGGUGUGGUGGGAUAUCAACAACGUAUGCAUUUGGACCAACUUGCUUUAAAAUUUUAUAAGGACUUGCACUACGGGCUUACAAUUUGGAGGCGGGUACAUGUGGACGCCGCUCUGACCUAAUGCGGACCAUAACGUAAUCCUUAAUGUUAAACUCAACAUGUCAUUUAUGCAAAUCAACUUGAAGUUUAUAUUUUGCAUUAUUGGCUUCAAGUUGUUUUGAUAAAAGAAUGGGCUAGGUAAUGGGAUGGUCAAUUUUGGGUGAAAUACAUGGGUUAGGGUUUGUUGGAAGCAGCAAGGGAGCAACAAUAAUGUAAAAGAAUAUUUUCUCUUUUUCUUUUUUUUUUAAACCGAUCGAAUUCCUAAAAUGGAACUUUUUUUUCGGGUGAACAGUAAUGCUUUUUUUUUUUUUCAAAGAAAGAAAACUGAAAAAGAAAAAUGAAAAUUGAUGCUCGUAUGCUAGAUCUUCUUCAAUUGUGCUGUUCCAAAAUUCUUUUUUUUUUUUUUUUUUUUUUGGAAGUAAGUAGGAAGAAAUUUUUGGAUUGGAGAAGAGAGAUUACCCAAGUUUAGGCUCUGAUACCAAAUUUGAUGCAGCAUCAAUAGAAAAAUUAAUGAAGAAACAGAAAGUCAAUCGGGAAGAAGAAAUCAGGGGAAGGGAUGGAAGAAGAAGAGAAUAGGGGAAGAAGAACAGGGAAGUGGGAGAAUUUCGCCACAAACCACCAAAAUAUUAUUCAUUCAUCAACUGAAAAUAAAUUACAAUACAAAAUAGUUUAAAUAAUAAAAACCUAAACCUAACUAGAUUGAGCUUGUGCCAAUAUAAGCCUAAUAAGAAUCCAUAAUAAAAUAAAGUCCACAAAAUGAAAUAAGGUCCAACUAGAAAUAAAUAAAAACGACUGGAUGUCCUCAUCA
This 1388-nucleotide long non-coding RNA is filed under the name Olea europaea (common olive). RNAcentral describes it as "long non-coding RNA (OEUR_LNC000633)". Lineage: Eukaryota; Viridiplantae; Streptophyta; Magnoliopsida; Lamiales; Oleaceae. The record is from RNAcentral.